CAGCUCUCCGAGUGGUAGGGGUGAUUAUUGGGCUUAAAGCGUCCGUAGCCGGCCUGGCAAGUCUUCCGUUAAAUCCAGCAACCUAAUUGUUGGGCUGCGGGGGAUACUGUUAGGCUAGGGGGCGGGAGAGGCCGACGGUAUUCUCGGGGUAGGGGUGAAAUCUUAUAAUCCCGGGAGGACCACCAGUGGCGAAGGCUGUCGGCUAGCACGCGCCUGACGGUGAGGGACGAAAGCUGGGGGAGCGAACCGGAUUAGAGACCCGAGUAGUCC
RNAcentral lists this ribosomal RNA (270 nucleotides) under uncultured archaeon. RNAcentral's name for it is "partial 16S ribosomal RNA". It matches the Rfam family "Archaeal small subunit ribosomal RNA", at positions 477 to 747 of the family's 1478-position model. The record is from RNAcentral.